RNAcentral lists this ribosomal RNA (1368 nucleotides) under Salmonella enterica subsp. houtenae serovar 48:g,z51:-. RNAcentral's name for it is "bacterial LSU rRNA". It matches the Rfam family "Bacterial large subunit ribosomal RNA", at positions 1579 to 2925 of the family's 2925-position model. The record is from RNAcentral. Lineage: Bacteria; Pseudomonadati; Pseudomonadota; Gammaproteobacteria; Enterobacterales; Enterobacteriaceae.
ACGGUGCUGAAGCAACAAAUGCCCUGCUUCCAGGAAAAGCCUCUAAGCCUCAGGUAACAUCAAAUCGUACCCCAAACCGACACAGGUGGUCAGGUAGAGAAUACCAAGGCGCUUGAGAGAACUCGGGUGAAGGAACUAGGCAAAAUGGUGCCGUAACUUCGGGAGAAGGCACGCUGACACGUAGGUGAAGUGGUUUACCCAUGGAGCUGAAGUCAGUCGAAGAUACCAGCUGGCUGCAACUGUUUAUUAAAAACACAGCACUGUGCAAACACGAAAGUGGACGUAUACGGUGUGACGCCUGCCCGGUGCCGGAAGGUUAAUUGAUGGGGUCAGCGCAAGCGAAGCUCCUGAUCGAAGCCCCGGUAAACGGCGGCCGUAACUAUAACGGUCCUAAGGUAGCGAAAUUCCUUGUCGGGUAAGUUCCGACCUGCACGAAUGGCGUAAUGAUGGCCAGGCUGUCUCCACCCGGGACUCAGUGAAAUUGAACUCGCUGUGAAGAUGCAGUGUACCCGCGGCAAGACGGAAAGACCCCGUGAACCUUUACUAUAGCUUGACACUGAACACUGGUCCUUGAUGUGCAGGAUAGGUGGGAGGCUUUGAAGUGUGGACGCCAGUCUGCAUGGAGCCAUCCUUGAAAUACCACCCUUUAAUGGCUGGUGUUCUAACGUGGGCCCGUGAACCGGGUUGCGGACAGUGUCUGGUGGGUAGUUUGACUGGGGCGGUCUCCUCCUAAAGAGUAACGGAGGAGCACGAAGGUUGGCUAAUCCUGGUCGGACAUCAGGAGGUUAGUGCAAUGGCAUAAGCCAGCUUGACUGCGAGCGUGACGGCGCGAGCAGGUGCGAAAGCAGGUCAUAGUGAUCCGGUGGUUCUGAAUGGAAGGGCCAUCGCUCAACGGAUAAAAGGUACUCCGGGGAUAACAGGCUGAUACCGCCCAAGAGUUCAUAUCGACGGCGGUGUUUGGCACCUCGAUGUCGGCUCAUCACAUCCUGGGGCUGAAGUAGGUCCCAAGGGUAUGGCUGUUCGCCAUUUAAAGUGGUACGCGAGCUGGGUUUAGAACGUCGUGAGACAGUUCGGUCCCUAUCUGCCGUGGGCGCUGGAAGAUUGAGGGGGGCUGCUCCUAGUACGAGAGGACCGGAGUGGACGCAUCACUGGUGUUCGGGUUGUCAUGCCAAUGGCACUGCCCGGUAGCUACAUGCGGAAGAGAUAAGUGCUGAAAGCAUCUAAGCACGAAACUUGCCCCGAGAUGAAUCUUCCCUGAGCCUUUAAGGCUCCUGAAGGAACGUUGAAGACGACGACGUUGAUAGGCCGGGUGUGUAAGCGCAGCGAUGCGUUGAGCUAACCGGUACUAAUGAACCGUGAGGCUUAACC